UGGGGAAUCUUGGACAAUGGGCGCAAGCCUGAUCCAGCCAUGCCGCGUGGAUGAUGAAGGCCUUAGGGUUGUAAAAUCCUUUCGUGGGGGACGAUAAUGACGGUACCCCAAGAAGAAGCUCCGGCUAACUUCGCGCCAGCAGCCGCGGUAAUACGAAGGGGGCUAGCGUUGUUCGGAUUUACUGGGCGUAAAGCGCGUGUAGGCGGGUCGUUAAGUUGGGGGUGAAAUCCCGAGGCUCAACCUCGGAACUGCCUUCAAAACUGGCGACCUGGACUCAAGCAGAGGCAAGUGGAAUUGCGAGUGUAGAGGUGAAAUUCGUAGAUAUUCGCAGGAACACCAGUGGCGAAGGCGACUUGCUGGGCUUGUAGUGACGCUGAGACGCGAAAGCGUGGGGAGCAAACAGGAUUAGAUACCCCCGUAGUCCCUGAGCGGGCUGGCAAGGCGCAU
This 447-nucleotide ribosomal RNA is filed under the name uncultured bacterium. RNAcentral describes it as "bacterial SSU rRNA". It matches the Rfam family "Bacterial small subunit ribosomal RNA", at positions 355 to 825 of the family's 1533-position model. The record is from RNAcentral.